GACGAACGCUGGCGGCGUGCUUAACACAUGCAAGUCGAACGGAAAGGCCCUGCUUUUGUGGGGUGCUCGAGUGGCGAACGGGUGAGUAACACGUGAGUAACCUGCCCUUGACUUAGGGAUAACUUCAGGAAACUGGGGCUAAUACCGGAUAGGAGCUCCUGCUGCAUGGUGGGGGUUGGAAAGUUUCGGCGGUUGGGGAUGGACUCGCGGCUUAUCAGCUUGUUGGUGGGGUGGUGGCUUACCAAGGCUUUGACGGGUAGACGGCCUGGGAGGGUGACCGGCCACAUUGGGACUGAGAUACGGCCCAGACUCCUACGGGAGGCAGCAGUGGGGAAUAUUGCACAAUGGGCGGAAGCCUGAUGCAGCAACGCCGCGUGCGGGAUGACGGCCUUCGGGUUGUAAACCGCUUUCGCCUGUGACGAAGCGUGAGUGACGGUAAUGGGUAAAGAAGCACCGGCUAACUACGUG
RNAcentral lists this ribosomal RNA (468 nucleotides) under uncultured bacterium. RNAcentral describes it as "partial 16S ribosomal RNA". It matches the Rfam family "Bacterial small subunit ribosomal RNA", at positions 28 to 507 of the family's 1533-position model. The record is from RNAcentral.